AGUGAACGCUGGCGGUAGGCCUAACACAUGCAAGUCGAACGGCAGCACAGUAAGAGCUUGCUCUUACGGGUGGCGAGUGGCGGACGGGUGAGGAAUACAUCGGAAUCUACUUUUUCGUGGGGGAUAACGUAGGGAAACUUACGCUAAUACCGCAUACGACCUACGAGUGAAAGCAGGGGAUCUUCGGACCUUGCGCGAUUGAAUGAGCCGAUGUCGGAUUAGCUAGUUGGCGGGGUAAAGGCCCACCAAGGCGACGAUCCGUAGCUGGUCUGAGAGGAUGAUCAGCCACACUGGAACUGAGACACGGUCCAGACCCCUACGGGAGGCAGCAGUGGGGAAUAUUGGACAAAGGGCGCAAGCCUGAUCCAGCCAUACCGCGUGGGUGAAGAAGGCCUUCGGGUUGUAAAGCCCUUUUGUUGGGAAAGAAAAGCAGCAGGUUAAUACCCCGCUGUUCUGACGGUACCCAAAGAAUAAGCACCGGCUAACUUCGUG
This 492-nucleotide ribosomal RNA is filed under the name uncultured bacterium. RNAcentral describes it as "partial 16S ribosomal RNA". It matches the Rfam family "Bacterial small subunit ribosomal RNA", at positions 29 to 507 of the family's 1533-position model. The record is from RNAcentral.